GCUACUGUGGCUCAGUCGGUAGAGCAGCUGAUUCGUAAUCAGCAGGUCAGCGGUUCGAAUCCGCUCAGUAGCUCCA
This 76-nucleotide transfer RNA is filed under the name Bacillota bacterium. RNAcentral describes it as "tRNA-Thr". It matches the Rfam family "tRNA". Rfam says of the family: Transfer RNA (tRNA) molecules are approximately 80 nucleotides in length. Their secondary structure includes four short double-helical elements and three loops (D, anti-codon, and T loops). RNAcentral also lists the same sequence under 5 other names. Lineage: Bacteria; Bacillati; Bacillota. The record is from RNAcentral.